AAUGAAGCUAUCUAGCAGUUCUAUACAAUACCAGCCUAAGAGAUAUACAUGUAAGCAACGGUGAAUAAAUGCAUGAGAUGCAAUGCAAUGCAUGAACACUGCGAAUCGUGCAGUCCGAUCCAUAUGGGUACCUGCACUCACUGUGGGGGUUCAGAUUCCGGAGGGGCUCCUACAGCCCAGUGCCAUAUCAUAUAGUGCCAAUAGUUACCACUGUUUCUUUUUCAAUACACGGUGCCAAUAGUUACCACCGUUUUCAUUACAAUACAUGGUGCCAAUAGUUACCACCAUUUCCAUUUUAAAAUAUGGUGCCAACUGUUACCACCGUUUCUAUUUAAAAAUACGGUGCCAAUAGUUACCACCAUUUCCAUUUAAUAGUUACCACCAUUUCCAUUUAAAAGUACGGUGCCAAUUUUACAAACAUUUCCAUUUAAGUAUAAUAUACAAUCCAAAAUAGUGAGAUUGUACUCGUCAGUCCAAAAUAUCAUUUAAAAAUCAUUUGAGUUUUCAAAACGUAUAAAUAUGGCAUAGUUUGCAAAAAUGGUAUUUAAACCCUGGACUGAAUUCAAAUAAUAUGCAAAUAAUGAAAAUUCUAGAAUAACGAUCCCUCAAGGAUUCUACAAGUCGGCACAAGGCCCCAAACAUGGCAUCAAGCCCAAAUAUCAUCAAUAUAGUAUGCGAAGCAAUUGCCAACAUAGCACAAUCUAUCCCUCGGGUUGGACCGAGUCACAAUUUCCAACAUAUACGUUUCCGCACUAGCCAUGGAGUGCUUGUCUAGCGUCAUAAUAGCGUCAUAAUGU
This 797-nucleotide long non-coding RNA is filed under the name Nicotiana benthamiana. Its description in RNAcentral is "long non-coding RNA (NBEN_LNC023226)". The record is from RNAcentral. Lineage: Eukaryota; Viridiplantae; Streptophyta; Magnoliopsida; Solanales; Solanaceae.